This 253-nucleotide ribosomal RNA is filed under the name uncultured bacterium. RNAcentral's name for it is "partial 16S ribosomal RNA". It matches the Rfam family "Bacterial small subunit ribosomal RNA", at positions 524 to 776 of the family's 1533-position model. The record is from RNAcentral.
UACGAAGGGGGCUAGCGUUGUUCGGAAUCACUGGGCGUAAAGAGCACGUAGGCGGAUCUUUAAGUCAGGGGUGAAAUCCCGAGGCUCAACCUCGGAACUGCCUUUGAUACUGGAGGUCUCGAGUCCGGGAGAGGUGAGUGGAACUGCGAGUGUAGAGGUGAAAUUCGUAGAUAUUCGCAAGAACACCAGUGGCGAAGGCGGCUCACUGGCCCGGUACUGACGCUGAGGUGCGAAAGCGUGGGGAGCAAACAGG